This 629-nucleotide ribosomal RNA is filed under the name uncultured bacterium. RNAcentral describes it as "bacterial SSU rRNA". The stretch from base 1 to 538 matches the Rfam family "Bacterial small subunit ribosomal RNA", at positions 338 to 873 of the family's 1533-position model. The record is from RNAcentral.
CCUACGGGAGGCAGCAGUGGGGAAUUUUGGACAAUGGGCGCAAGCCUGAUCCAGCAAUGCCGCGUGAGUGAAGAAGGCCUUCGGGUUGUAAAGCUCUUUUGUCAGGGAAGAAACGGUGGUUCCUAAUACGGACUACUAAUGACGGUACCUGAAGAAUAAGCACCGGCUAACUACGUGCCAGCAGCCGCGGUAAUACGUAGGGUGCAAGCGUUAAUCGGAAUUACUGGGCGUAAAGCGUGCGCAGGCGGUUAUAUAAGUCAGAUGUGAAAUCCCCGGGCUCAACCUGGGAACUGCAUUUGAGACUGUAUGGCUAGAGUGUGUCAGAGGGGGGUAGAAUUCCACGUGUAGCAGUGAAAUGCGUAGAUAUGUGGAGGAAUACCGAUGGCGAAGGCAGCCCCCUGGGAUAACACUGACGCUCAUGCACGAAAGCGUGGGGAGCAAACAGGAUUAGAUACCCUGGUAGUCCACGCCCUAAACGAUGUCUACUAGUUGUCGGGACUUAAUUGUNUUGUACGUACAGCUACGCGUGAGAGACGCCGCGGAGGUACGGUCGCGAGAAGUUAAACGUUAAAGUAAGUAAGUUAGUACGGACGUGAGACGUAGACGACGGACGACGACGAGGGAGGAGG